UAGUAGUGGCUAGCCGGUCCGCGUACGCAACGAACACUGUUUAUUUAUCGGUGAUUUUAUACGUUUACAUUGAUAUAAUGGUGAAGUGUGUUCAAAAGUGAGAGUUCCACGUGAUAUGUUUAGAGCAAAUUCCGUCUCAACUCUUUGAAAAAAACUUAAGUAAGGCAUUUUGUAUAGAAUUUUAUGACUACCUUAAUAGCAACAGUGGCCAGCCCGGAUCUCAGUUUUCAAAUAAAAACAAGCACAAUAUUUCCUAGCUACCAUAUCUAUUCCUAUUUUUUAUCUAACCAUAGUCACGGUACAGUGUUUCUCAAUGACUGUACAGUCAGCUUCAAAAGUCAUUGAACAAAUCUAAAUUUUGAAAACAGCUAAACACCGAGAGUUUUCAUACACUUUUUAAAUACAAAAGUUUAGAAUGUAAGUAAAUGUUGGUAUUUGUGUUGUUAAGAAGUUACGACCCUUCACGUUGUUAGACGCUUUUGAAAAUGUUGAUAUGUUCAGCAACUUUUGAUGAUGAAUGUACUAACAAGCGGCACUUCUUUUUAACAAAAAAUAAUAAAACAUUGUACAAGUCUCAAUUGAAAUAUUUCUGUACCAAGUAAUGAAUUGUGAACGUUAUUAUGAAAUUCAGACCGAUUUCUUUAACGUCUGCCUGUCUCUAUUCGAUAGAUGAGUUAAUUAUGUAUUUCGUAGUGAAAUGUUGUUUUUGUUAUAAAAGUCAAAUUAAAAACAAACGCAUUCCAAUAAACAAAUGUCACUUUUA
Molecule: long non-coding RNA, 763 nt
Organism: Helicoverpa zea (corn earworm)
Lineage: Eukaryota; Metazoa; Arthropoda; Insecta; Lepidoptera; Noctuidae
Exons: 2
Source: RefSeq, a predicted model, not a curated record